RNAcentral lists this ribosomal RNA (521 nucleotides) under uncultured Glomeraceae. Its description in RNAcentral is "SSU rRNA". It matches the Rfam family "Eukaryotic small subunit ribosomal RNA", at positions 569 to 1092 of the family's 1831-position model. The record is from RNAcentral. Lineage: Eukaryota; Fungi; Glomeromycota; Glomeromycetes; Glomerales; Glomeraceae.
AGCAGCCGCGGUAAUUCCAGCUCCAAUAGCGUAUAUUAAAGUUGUUGCAGUUAAAAAGCUCGUAGUUGAAUUUCGAGAUCAAUUUGUCGGUCGUGCCUCGGUACGUACUGGCAUUAUUGAUUUCUCCCUUCUGAAGAACCGCGAUGUCAUUAAUUUGGUGUCGUGGGGAAUCAGGACUGUUACUUUGAAAAAAUUAGAGUGUUUAAAGCAGGCGCACGCUUGAAUACAUUAGCAUGGAAUAAUGAAAUAGGACGUUUGAUUCUAUUUUGUUGGUUUCUAGGAUCGACGUAAUGAUUAAUAGGGAUAGUUGGGGGCAUUAGUAUUCAAUUGUCAGAGGUGAAAUUCUUGGAUUUAUUGAAGACUAACUACUGCGAAAGCAUUUGCCAAGGAUGUUUUCAUUAAUCAAGAACGAAAGUUAGGGGAUCGAAGACGAUCAGAUACCGUCGUAGUCUUAACCAUAAACUAUGCCGACUAGGGAUCGGAUGAUGUUAAUUUUUUAAUGACUCAUUCGGCGCCUUACG